CAUACAAAAAGAGGAGUUGUCAACUCGUGGACCACUAAGGCCAUUUUACCCCCGAAGUUGAACCCACCAGUGAGCAGGUCUGUUUGCCUGGACACCCUGGUUUGUCUCUCCCGACGCUCCUAAUUUAGCGUCAGCUCACAAGCCACCACGAUGCUACCUCCGUUCUUUGCGGUUGAUCGUCAGAAAUUGCCAUCUUUAAUGACUUUUAGCUUCGGUCAUUCAGUUCGGACAUUCAGUUCAGACACUCGCCAAGUACUAAAAUUGGUUGGCCGCAACGCCCGCGUCUGGUGGCGCUCUUGGGCAGACUAAUUAAAGCUUUCCCCACUCCUGUUAAUGAACC
RNAcentral lists this small RNA (340 nucleotides) under Histoplasma capsulatum. RNAcentral describes it as "hypothetical RNA". The record is from RNAcentral. RNAcentral also lists the same sequence under 1 other name. Lineage: Eukaryota; Fungi; Ascomycota; Eurotiomycetes; Onygenales; Ajellomycetaceae.